GAUGAACGCUGGCGGCGUGCCUAAUACAUGCAAGUCGAGCGAACGGACGAGAAGCUUGCUUCUCUGAUGUUAGCGGCGGACGGGUGAGUAACACGUGGAUAACCUACCUAUAAGACUGGGAUAACUUCGGGAAACCGUAGCUAAUACCGGAUAAUAUUUUGAACCGCAUGGUUCAAAAGUGAAAGACGGUCUUGCUGUCACUUAUAGAUGGAUCCGCGCUGCAUUAGCUAGUUGGUAAGGUAACGGCUUACCAAGGCAACGAUGCAUAGCCGACCUGAGAGAGUGAUCGGCCACACUGGAACUGAGACACGGUCCAGACUCCUACGGGAGGCAGCAGUAGGGAAUCUUACGCAAUGGGCGAAAGCCUGACGGAGCAACGCCGCGUGAGUGAUGAAGGUCUUCGGAUCGUAAAACUCUGUUAUUAGGGAAGAACAUAUGUGUAAGUAACUGUGCACAUCUUGACGGUACCUAAUCAGAAAGCCACGGCUAACUACGUG
Molecule: ribosomal RNA, 497 nt
Filed under: uncultured bacterium
Lineage: Bacteria
Description: partial 16S ribosomal RNA
Rfam family: Bacterial small subunit ribosomal RNA
Source: RNAcentral